RNAcentral lists this ribosomal RNA (381 nucleotides) under Cryptotermes spathifrons. RNAcentral describes it as "partial large subunit ribosomal RNA". The record is from RNAcentral. Lineage: Eukaryota; Metazoa; Arthropoda; Insecta; Blattodea; Kalotermitidae.
CUCUUCUUGUUUAUUGAUUUGAAGUAUGGUCUGCCCACUGACGAUGUUUGAAGGGCCGCGGUAUUUUGACCGUGCAAAGGUAGCGUAAUCAUUAGUUUCUUAAUUGUGAACUGGUAUGAAUGGCUUGACGAGGUGUCAACUGUCUUUGAUUUGGGUUAAUAUUGAAUUUGUUGUUUGGGUAAAAAUACCUGAAUUUUUUUAUGGGACGAGAAGACCCUAUAGAGUUUAAUAUAAGUAUACUCUCCUUGGUUUGUUGAGUCUUGUGGGGUAUUUAUAUUUUGUUGGGGUGAUGGGAAGGUAAAUUUAACUCUUCUUUUUUAAUUUCACUUAUUUGUGUUUUUGUGAUCCUUUAUUACUGAUUAGAAGAUCAAAUUACCUUAG